RNAcentral lists this unclassified non-coding RNA (263 nucleotides) under plant metagenome. RNAcentral's name for it is "partial contains small subunit ribosomal RNA, internal transcribed spacer 1, and 5.8S ribosomal RNA". The record is from RNAcentral.
UUUCCGUUGGUGAACCUGCGGAAGGAUCAUUAUUGUAUAACCGAGGUGCGAGGGCUGUCGCUGACCCGAAAGGUCGUGCACGCCCGAGUGCCCUCACACACAUCCAUCUCACCCCUAUGUGCACCACCGCGUGGGUCCCCCUUUGGCUUGUUCGGAGGGGGGCUUACGUUUUUACACAAACUUUGUAUGCAGUGUAGAAUGUAUUUUUUGUUUUUGCGAUCACGCAAUCAAUACAACUUUCAACAACGGAUCUCUUGGCUCUC